This 927-nucleotide ribosomal RNA is filed under the name Bacillus sp. 57(2010). RNAcentral describes it as "bacterial SSU rRNA". It matches the Rfam family "Bacterial small subunit ribosomal RNA", at positions 35 to 946 of the family's 1533-position model. The record is from RNAcentral. Lineage: Bacteria; Bacillati; Bacillota; Bacilli; Caryophanales; Bacillaceae.
GCUGGCGGCGUGCCUAUACAUGCAAGUCGAGCGGACAGAAGGGAGCUUGCUCCCGGAUGUUAGCGGCGGACGGGUGAGUAACACGUGGGUAACCUGCCUGUAAGACUGGGAUAACUCCGGGAAACCGGAGCUAAUACCGGAUAGUUCCUUGAACCGCAUGGUUCAAGGAUGAAAGACGGUUUCGGCUGUCACUUACAGAUGGACCCGCGGCGCAUUAGCUAGUUGGUGGGGUAAUGGCUCACCAAGGCGACGAUGCGUAGCCGACCUGAGAGGGUGAUCGGCCACACUGGGACUGAGACACGGCCCAGACUCCUACGGGAGGCAGCAGUAGGGAAUCUUCCGCAAUGGACGAAAGUCUGACGGAGCAACGCCGCGUGAGUGAUGAAGGUUUUCGGAUCGUAAAGCUCUGUUGUUAGGGAAGAACAAGUGCGAGAGUAACUGCUCGCACCUUGACGGUACCUAACCAGAAAGCCACGGCUAACUACGUGCCAGCAGCCGCGGUAAUACGUAGGUGGCAAGCGUUGUCCGGAAUUAUUGGGCGUAAAGGGCUCGCAGGCGGUUUCUUAAGUCUGAUGUGAAAGCCCCCGGCUCAACCGGGGAGGGUCAUUGGAAACUGGGAAACUUGAGUGCAGAAGAGGAGAGUGGAAUUCCACGUGUAGCGGUGAAAUGCGUAGAGAUGUGGAGGAACACCAGUGGCGAAGGCGACUCUCUGGUCUGUAACUGACGCUGAGGAGCGAAAGCGUGGGGAGCGAACAGGAUUAGAUACCCUGGUAGUCCACGCCGUAAACGAUGAGUGCUAAGUGUUAGGGGGUUUCCGCCCUUAGUGCUGCAGCUAACGCAUUAAGCACUCCGCCUGGGGAGUACGGUCGCAAGACUGAAACUCAAAGGAAUUGACGGGGGCCCGCACAAGCGGUGGAGCAUGUGGUU